GACUGAAUGAAUCCCCCCAAGUUGGAACCCUUCUGCUCACAUACAAAACAUGGGUGCAGCAAGAAACAAGAUGAGCAGCUACAAGAUUUCUAUGGAUGUCUUCAAACACCGAGGGCUCCCUGUCAGCUCGCGUCCACUUCUGCAAGCCAGGCUAUGAGGAAGUAGCUAACGCCAGCCUCUGGGCCUACGGAGGAGUUUCUCUUUGAGCUGCACUCCCACCUUCCCUCCAGCAUCUGGGCAGAACCAGCUGCCAGCUACAGGCUCCUCAACAAUGAGGCUCUCGUCAAAGGCCAGGACCUGCUCCCUGCCUCUGAACCUCUGACGAUCAGGACAUAUCUCCCCACUAGACUCCCGCUAAGGUCCCCUGCACAUGGGGCACACUUACCGCUAGUCUGUGUACUGCAUGAGCUGAUCCACAGUGUGCAACUGUAUGGAUGCAACCCCUCCUUCCAGCUCCUUGUGGACUCACUGCACCAUCAUCACUUCAUACCUGAACUGUCCAGAAAGAGGAUCUGGUCUACUUGGGGCCCUGCAGGUCUGCAUGACCAUGAGAUGGGACCCCUGGUGACCUCAGCCUUUAAAAGACCACCAAUUUCCAGCCCUCCAAGCUAGAUGGUGAACAUGGUAUCCUCCUUCUGCUUGGGAAGUUUGGGGAGCUUGGAUCUCAGAGCACAGGCAUCUGGAGAGGAUGGAGUCAGGGCAAGACAGGAGGCAUGGAUAUUCAGGAACUCAGACCCACACCGAGGGAAGACCCCAUGAGGACACAGGGAGAAGGUGGCAUCUGCAAGGCCAGGAGAGGCCUCAGGGGAACCAGCGCUACUGACGCCUUGAUCUUGGACUUCCAACCUCCAGACCUAUGAGAAAAAACUCUGUCAUUUAAAGAAAUAAGGGAUGUUGCUGUCCCAGACUGUAGUAUUUUGUUAUGGGAGCAUCCCUAGCAAACCAGUACAGAAAGGGAAGCAACUUCUGUCAUAAAUGGGACUUGAUCUGGGAGACUGUGGGGAGGAGAUACCCUAGCCUUUCUCUCGAGCUCUCUGACCUCACCCAAAUGCCAAACCCACCUGGCAGCCAGCAGAGGAGCCAAGCGAUGUGCUCCAUAGGUACAGGUGCAGUCUUCUAGGGCAGCUGUAGGACAGAGAAAGAUAAGAAUGACUCUGGGGUACAAAUAGAAAAUGAUCAGCAAAGACAUCUAAUCAAGUCUUGAGAAAGCAAGAAAGGCUAGACAGAGGAGGUGACUCUUGAACUAAACCUAGAAUAAAAAAUGAAUUAAUGUGAAUAAAGUACUCAGAAUCCUAAUGGGCCAUAAUAAAAGCUAUUGGUGUUAUCAUUUUUUACCACCAGACCCUUUUUAUUGAUUGUUUCUAGAUAAUAAAGUAUAUUUAGAUUAAAAAUAAGUUUAAGAAAAACCCUUUUUACAGAUAAAAUUAGGUUCAUAGGUUGAAUAAAUGGCUAGGUCAGCUUUCACACUCAGACUUUCCCUGCUCAAAAGCUCCCAGGCCUGGUUGCAUCCCUGUGGGUACAAUCAUCAGCUGGCUCUGGAAGAAAAUGUGCUAGACACAGAGGCAUGUUGUCAGGAGAGACAGUGACAACUUUGGGGACCUGAGGUGGUUACCAAGGUGAGGGUACAGAGCACAGAGUGGGGAGAGGCCAGACGUGGUUGGCAAGGAGGCAAGGCCAGAUCAGAGAUAUGGCCAUUUGCCAUGUCAGGAGGUUUGGACUCCUCAGAGACCACAGGGUGUUUCUGAAGAAUGUGGAUUUUAGAAUGAGCAUCUUGAGGGCAUUGGGAGUAAUGUCAUAGUCUACAAGAUGAGACUGAAGAUGGGGAGAUCAGCUAAAAUGCCUAUGUAGAAGACAGGUGAGAAAUGGUGAGAGUCCUAAAUAGAGAUUGGCUAGUGGGAUGCAGAAAAGGGAGCUGGUCAAGGAAAAGAGGAGAAAGCAUUCACAGGACUUGAAGACUAAUUGGAUGUAAGAAGUGGGGAAGAGAGAGGAGCACAGGGCUGCUCCCAGGUUCUUAGCCUGAGAAACUGCAUGUGUGGUGGUGCCACCCUCAAAUCCUGGAAACACAAGAGGAACAGACUUUGUGAGAAAAUGAUCUAUGCUCUUUGAACACAUAUUUCAGAUGCCUCUGGGCUAUCUAAGUAGAAAAGGUAGAGCCACAUUACAUAAGAAUUUUUGUUAAGUAUCUUACAACAGAAAUCACAAUAGGUUGAGUCCUCUAAAAAUAAUUAUUGUUCUUCUUACAUUUGGUAUGAGAGAUAAGCAAAUACAACCAUGAUUAGGUCAUAGUUAUAAGCAUAUUAUUUCAAUAAUUUUUAAGCAAGCAGUUAUGGAGUUUUGUAUAAAGUACUGUAAUAAGUGUUGGGGGAUGGGAAGGUAUCAGUGACAGAUGAUUAAGACAGUCUUCUAGGAAAAGCUGAGGGAGUCACAAAAGUGAAACAAAGGAGUGACCCAAAGAGGAUGGAAGUGGUGGGUGUGGAAUAAAUGCACAUGGUACAUCUCAAGAUUCCCAAUAAACACUGUAUGACUCCACUGAUAUGAAGCACCUAGAAUAGGCAAAUUCUUAGAGACAGAGAAUAGAAUAGAGGUUAUAGGGGAAUGAGGUAUGAGGAGUUAGUGUUUGGAGAUGAUAAAAAGUUAUGGAAUGGUCAGUGGUAAUGGUUGCACAAUAUUAUGAGUGUACUUAAUGCCACUGAAUUGUACCUUUAA
Molecule: RNA transcript, 2706 nt
Organism: Manis javanica (Malayan pangolin)
Lineage: Eukaryota; Metazoa; Chordata; Mammalia; Pholidota; Manidae
Gene name: doublecortin domain-containing protein 2-like
Source: RefSeq, a predicted model, not a curated record